UUUAAGUUUUAGCUUUGCAAUCAUACUUCCCCCAAAAUCCCAAAGGCUUUGGUUUCCCUAAAACUGCUCGCCGAGUCAUCGAAGAAACUUCAACGAAUCGUCAGCUGGCAUCGUCUAUGGUUAGGACUAGGAAGGUAUCUGAUCGCCUUUGAAAAUCUCACUCUUAUUCUUGACUAAAAAAAAACAUUUUUGGCAAAUGCUUUGGCUUCUGUCCGUCAUGUGACGAUCCAUGAAUUUCGACUCUGACGUCGCAAUAUGAAUGCCGCUAUCUGUCCCUAUCGAUCACAACUUUGGGGUUCCGAAAACCAACAAAAUAGCAACAAGGUCGUAUUCCAUUAUUCCAUGCAUACAG
RNAcentral lists this long non-coding RNA (352 nucleotides) under Neodiprion pinetum (white pine sawfly). RNAcentral describes it as "uncharacterized LOC124216010". The record is from RNAcentral. Lineage: Eukaryota; Metazoa; Arthropoda; Insecta; Hymenoptera; Diprionidae.